RNAcentral lists this ribosomal RNA (258 nucleotides) under uncultured Zygosaccharomyces. Its description in RNAcentral is "partial 18S ribosomal RNA". It matches the Rfam family "Eukaryotic small subunit ribosomal RNA", at positions 1350 to 1630 of the family's 1831-position model. Lineage: Eukaryota; Fungi; Ascomycota; Saccharomycetes; Saccharomycetales; Saccharomycetaceae. The record is from RNAcentral.
ACUAAAUAGUGGUGCUAGCAUUUGCUGGUUUUUCCACUUCUUAGAGGGACUAUCGGUUUCAAGCCGAUGGAAGUUUGAGGCAAUAACAGGUCUGUGAUGCCCUUAGACGUUCUGGGCCGCACGCGCGCUACACUGACGGAGCCAACGAGUCUAACCUUGGCCGAGAGGUCUGGGUAAUCUUGUGAAACUCCGUCGUGCUGGGGAUAGAGCAUUGUAAUUAUUGCUCUUCAACGAGGAAUUCCUAGUAAGCGCAAGUCA